This 78-nucleotide transfer RNA is filed under the name Prevotella sp. RNAcentral's name for it is "tRNA-Val". It matches the Rfam family "tRNA". Rfam says of the family: Transfer RNA (tRNA) molecules are approximately 80 nucleotides in length. Their secondary structure includes four short double-helical elements and three loops (D, anti-codon, and T loops). Lineage: Bacteria; Pseudomonadati; Bacteroidota; Bacteroidia; Bacteroidales; Prevotellaceae. The record is from RNAcentral. RNAcentral also lists the same sequence under 2 other names.
AGGAGCAUAGCUCAGUUGGUUUAGAGCGCUUCAGUCACAUUGAAGAGGUCUUGGGUUCGAGUCCCAAUGUUCCUACCA